This 231-nucleotide ribosomal RNA is filed under the name uncultured bacterium. RNAcentral describes it as "partial 16S ribosomal RNA". It matches the Rfam family "Bacterial small subunit ribosomal RNA", at positions 15 to 228 of the family's 1533-position model. The record is from RNAcentral.
GAUCAUGGCUCAGGACGAACGCUGGCGGCGUGCCUAAUACAUGCAAGUAGAACGCACAGUUUAUACCGUAGCUUGCUACACCAUAGACUGUGAGUUGCGAACGGGUGAGUAACGCGUAGGUAACCUGCCUGGUAGCGGGGGAUAACUAUUGGAAACGGUAGCUAAUACCGCAUAAUAUUAAUUAUUGCAUGAUAAUUGAUUGAAAGGUGCAAUUGCACCACUACCAGAUGG